This 250-nucleotide ribosomal RNA is filed under the name uncultured bacterium. Its description in RNAcentral is "partial 16S ribosomal RNA". It matches the Rfam family "Bacterial small subunit ribosomal RNA", at positions 524 to 773 of the family's 1533-position model. The record is from RNAcentral.
UACGAAGGGGGCUAGCGUUGUUCGGAUUUACUGGGCGUAAAGCGCACGUAGGCGGAUUGUUAAGUCAGGGGUGAAAUCCUGGAGCUCAACUCCAGAACUGCCUUUGAUACUGGCAAUCUUGAGUCCGGAAGAGGUGAGUGGAACUCCUAGUGUAGAGGUGGAAUUCGUAGAUAUUCGCAAGAACACCAAUGGCGAAGGCAGCUCGCUGGGACGGUACUGACGCUGAGGCGCGAAAGCGUGGGGAGCGAAC